GGAAUAUAAGAAACCGCUUCUUAAUUUUUAACUAAAAAAGUUAGGAACCGGAACCGGUUCUUAAAUUUUUUAGUUAAAAGUUAAGAAACAGUUUUUUAUAUUCC
Brassica oleracea var. oleracea is the source of this 104-nucleotide microRNA precursor. It matches the Rfam family "MIR9563 microRNA precursor family". The record is from Rfam. NCBI's taxonomy places the organism in Eukaryota, Viridiplantae, Streptophyta, Magnoliopsida, Brassicales, Brassicaceae.